GCAAACUGCGAAUACCGGAGAAUGUUAUCACGGGAGACACACGGCGGGUGCUAACGUCCGUCGUGAAGAGGGAAACAACCCAGACCGCCAGCUAAGGUCCCAAAGUCAUGGUUAAGUGGGAAACGAUGUGGGAAGGCCCAGACAGCCAGGAUGUUGGCUUAGAAGCAGCCAUCAUUUAAAGAAAGCGUAAUAGCUCACUGGUCGAGUCGGCCUGCGCGGAAGAUGUAACGGGGCUAAACCAUGCACCGAAGCUGCGGCAGCGACGCUUAUGCGUUGUUGGGUAGGGGAGCGUUCUGUAAGCCUGCGAAGGUGGCCUGUGAGGGUUGCUGGAGGUAUCAGAAGUGCGAAUGCUGACAUAAGUAACGAUAAAGCGGGUGAAAAGCCCGCUCGCCGGAAGACCAAGGGUUCCUGUCCAACGUUAAUCGGGGCAGGGUGAGUCGACCCCUAAGGCGAGGCCGAAAGGCGUAGUCGAUGGGAAACGGGUUAAUAUUCCCGUACUUGGUGUUACUGCGAAGGGGGGACGGAGAAGGCUAUGUUGGCCGGGCGACGGUUGUCCCGGUUUAAGCGUGUAGGCUGGUUUUCCAGGCAAAUCCGGAAAAUCAAGGCUGAGGCGUGAUGACGAGGCACUACGGUGCUGAAGCAACAAAUGCCCUGCUUCCAGGAAAAGCCUCUAAGCAUCAGGUAACAUCAAAUCGUACCCCAAACCGACACAGGUGGUCAGGUAGAGAAUACCAAGGCGCUUGAGAGAACUCGGGUGAAGGAACUAGGCAAAAUGGUGCCGUAACUUCGGGAGAAGGCACGCUGACACGUAGGUGAAGUGAUUUACUCACGGAGCUGAAGUCAGUCGAAGAUACCAGCUGGCUGCAACUGUUUAUUAAAAACACAGCACUGUGCAAACACGAAAGUGGACGUAUACGGUGUGACGCCUGCCCGGUGCCGGAAGGUUAAUUGAUGGGGUCAGCGCAAGCGAAGCUCCUGAUCGAAGCCCCGGUAAACGGCGGCCGUAACUAUAACGGUCCUAAGGUAGCGAAAUUCCUUGUCGGGUAAGUUCCGACCUGCACGAAUGGCGUAAUGAUGGCCAGGCUGUCUCCACCCGAGACUCAGUGAAAUUGAACUCGCUGUGAAGAUGCAGUGUACCCGCGGCAAGACGGAAAGACCCCGUGAACCUUUACUAUAGCUUGACACUGAACAUUGAGCCUUGAUGUGUAGGAUAGGUGGGAGGCUUUGAAGUGUGGACGCCAGUCUGCAUGGAGCCGACCUUGAAAUACCACCCUUUAAUGUUUGAUGUUCUAACGUGGACCCGUUACCCGGGUUGCGGACAGUGUCUGGUGGGUAGUUUGACUGGGGCGGUCUCCUCCUAAAGAGUAACGGAGGAGCACGAAGGUUGGCUAAUCCUGGUCGGACAUCAGGAGGUUAGUGCAAUGGCAUAAGCCAGCUUGACUGCGAGCGUGACGGCGCGAGCAGGUGCGAAAGCAGGUCAUAGUGAUCCGGUGGUUCUGAAUGGAAGGGCCAUCGCUCAACGGAUAAAAGGUACUCCGGGGAUAACAGGCUGAUACCGCCCAAGAGUUCAUAUCGACGGCGGUGUUUGGCACCUCGAUGUCGGCUCAUCACAUCCUGGGGCUGAAGUAGGUCCCAAGGGUAUGGCUGUUCGCCAUUUAAAGUGGUACGCGAGCUGGGUUUAGAACGUCGUGAGACAGUUCGGUCCCUAUCUGCCGUGGGCGCUGGAGAACUGAGGGGGGCUGCUCCUAGUACGAGAGGACCGGAGUGGACGCAUCACUGGUGUUCGGGUUGUCAUGCCAAUGGCACUGCCCGGUAGCUAAAUGCGGAAGAGAUAAGUGCUGAAAGCAUCUAAGCACGAAACUUGCCCCGAG
Molecule: ribosomal RNA, 1871 nt
Filed under: Salmonella enterica subsp. enterica serovar Enteritidis
Lineage: Bacteria; Pseudomonadati; Pseudomonadota; Gammaproteobacteria; Enterobacterales; Enterobacteriaceae
Description: partial 23S ribosomal RNA
Rfam family: Bacterial large subunit ribosomal RNA
Source: RNAcentral